CUACGGGUCGCUGCAGUGGGGAAUAUUGCACAAUGGAGGAAACUCUGAUGCAGCAACGCCGCGUGGAGGAUGACACUUUUCGGAGCGUAAACUCCUUUUAUAUAGGAAGAAGAUGACGGUACUAUAUGAAUAAGCGCCGGCUAACUCCGUGCCAGCAGCCGCGGUAAUACGGAGGGCGCAAGCGUUACUCGGAAUCACUGGGCGUAAAGAGCGUGUAGGCGGAUUAAAAAGUCAGAAGUGAAAUCCUAUAGCUUAACUAUAGAACUGCUUCUGAAACUCUUAAUCUAGAAUAUGGGAGAGGUAGGUGGAAUUUCUGGUGUAGGGGUAAAAUCCGUAGAGAUCAGAAGGAAUACCGAUUGCGGAGGCGAUCUACUAGAACAUUAUUGACGCUGAGACGCGAAAGCGUGGGGAGCAAACAGGAUUAGAUACCCCCGUAGUC
RNAcentral lists this ribosomal RNA (439 nucleotides) under uncultured bacterium. RNAcentral describes it as "partial 16S ribosomal RNA". It matches the Rfam family "Bacterial small subunit ribosomal RNA", at positions 339 to 795 of the family's 1533-position model. The record is from RNAcentral.